RNAcentral lists this ribosomal RNA (480 nucleotides) under uncultured bacterium. RNAcentral's name for it is "SSU rRNA". It matches the Rfam family "Bacterial small subunit ribosomal RNA", at positions 26 to 518 of the family's 1533-position model. The record is from RNAcentral.
AGGACGAACGCUGGCGGCGUGCUUAACACAUGCAAGUCGAACGGUGACCAGGACUUCGGUCCUGCGAUCAGUGGCGAACGGGUGCGUAACACGUGGGCAACCUGCCCCUCACUCUGGGAUAACCCCGGGAAACCGGAGCUAAUACCGGAUACUCUCACCGACCCUCCUGGUUCGGUGAGGAAAGGUCCGCCGGUGAGGGAUGGGCCCGCGGCCUAUCAGCUUGUUGGUGAGGUAACGGCUCACCAAGGCGACGACGGGUAGCUGGUCUGAGAGGACGACCAGCCACACUGGAACUGAGAUACGGUCCAGACUCCUACGGGAGGCAGCAGUGGGGAAUCUUGCGCAAUGGGCGAAAGCCUGACGCAGCGACGCCGCGUGGGGGAUGAAUGCCUUCGGGUUGUAAACCCCUUUCGGCAGGGACGAAGCGAACGUGACGGUACCUGCAGAAGAAGCUCCGGCUAACUACGUGCCAGCAGCCGC